UAGGGAAUCUUAGUCAAUGGGCGAAAGCCUGAACUAGCGACGUCGCGUGUGCGAUGAAGGCCUUAGGGUUGUAAAGCACUGUCGUGCGGGACGAUAAUGACGGUACCGCACAAGAAAGGACCGGCCAACUUCGUGCCAGCAGCCGCGGUAAUACGAGGGGUCCUAGCGUUGUUCGGAAUUACUGGGCGUAAAGUGGGUGCAGGCGGGCUAUUAAGUCAGAUGUGAAAUUCUGGAGCUUAACUUCAGAAUUGCAUUUGAUACUGGUAGCCUUGAGUAUUGGAGAGGAUAGUAGAAUUCUUGGUGUAGUGGUGGAAUACGUAGAUACCAGGAGGAAUACCAGUGGCGAAGGCGACUAUCUGGCCAAAUACUGACGCUCAGGCCCUAAAGCGUGGGGAGCAAACAGG
This 404-nucleotide ribosomal RNA is filed under the name uncultured delta proteobacterium. Its description in RNAcentral is "bacterial SSU rRNA". It matches the Rfam family "Bacterial small subunit ribosomal RNA", at positions 355 to 776 of the family's 1533-position model. The record is from RNAcentral. Lineage: Bacteria; Deltaproteobacteria. RNAcentral also lists the same sequence under 1 other name.